AGCUAUGCCAGGAGCCGGGGACAAGGACGGAGCCACCCCAGAGGACCCUGCUGCUGCGGGGUGUGGCCGAGGAGAGGAGAGGUCGGAAGGCAGCCACGGGGAGUCACCAGGAACAGGGCGGGAUGCGGUGCAGAGUCUGAGGGAAAGGGGCUCCUGGUGAGCGGGUCGGGGGGCGCGAUGGGGUCACACGGGGCUCAUUGUGUUGGUCAUGUUCUUGGAAGGAGGCUGGGCUCUGCUCCUAGCUGUGCCCCGCACCUCGCACACCCGGGAGAUGAUGAUGAGCAGAUUUUCAGCCCAGAGGAUCUUCAUCUUGGGUCUCCUCCUUGCCCUUUGCUCCUCCCUCCAGGGUCCUCCUGAGGCCAGGGGCUGUCCCGAGAGCCCCGAGGGCAGAGUCUCCUUCCCUGAGCCCCUCCCCCACCCCCUCUGCUGCCCCUCCCGGUCCAGCCCGCCCACCACCCAGCGGAGGGCCCGGCGGGAGCAGGUGCCCCAGGGACCUGGCUGCGGCUCUCCGGAGAAUUCCGAGGAUGCGGGCUGGCCAUCACGCGCCCCCUGCUUGGCGCUCCCUGAGGCUCGGCCACCCGCUGAAGCCCUGCCGUAAACAGAUGCCAGGCAUCGCGAACCCAGACUGCACGCGUGGAGCGCCACGCCGCUCUCCCAUUCCUUCCCGGGGAUUCCUGGAAACCCGGCUUGGAGAGAGGCCUGCGGGGUGACCCGGCCUGGCUGUGCCGCCCCUCAGCCCCUUCGCAGUGCCCCGUCCCCCGGCUGUCGCAGCCUCUCGGGGCGGGACGCGUGCACACCCAGGCCUGUCUCCCUGCAGAGCCCAGCUGUCGGAGGCUAAGACUGUGCCUCCCUCGGCCCCUGUUCCUGCCGCACCCGGUCCCCUCGUGUCGUGCAUCAUACUGGCCCGGAGUCCUCCAUGCGCCCUCAGCAAAGAGGGGACGAAGGUUCAGAGAGGUCAAGUCACUGACUGAAGAUCACACAGUGGGAGGCAGCAGAGAAACGUUCAAACCAGCGGCUUCUAUUCCUAAGCCCAUGCCCGUUACUUCUUAGUGUGAACAAAGGGGACCCGGUGGCCAAAGCUUUCUGUACUGAAGAUGCUUCCAGAUCUUUCCAAGGAGAGCACAGACCUGGCGUGCAGACCCCUCUCCUCUCGCUGCUCCGUGUUAUCCAUUUACCUCGUUAAGUCUCAGCCUAUUAAUAACCACCCAUUUGUCUUAAUUCAAUAAAAAGAUGAUUGAUCAUAUUUGCA
RNAcentral lists this long non-coding RNA (1249 nucleotides) under Felis catus (domestic cat). RNAcentral describes it as "lncRNA (ENSFCAG00000052238.1)". The record is from RNAcentral. Lineage: Eukaryota; Metazoa; Chordata; Mammalia; Carnivora; Felidae.